CUGCUGCCUUCCGUAGGAGUCUGGUCCGUGUCUCAGUACCAGUGUGGGGGACCUUCCUCUCAGAACCCCUACGCAUCGUCGGUUAGGUGGGCCGUUACCCCGCCUACUGCCUAAUGCGCCGCAUGCCCAUCCCUGUCCGGCCGAAGCCUUUCCUGCCUCCGGGAUGCCCCGGUGGCAUGUACGCGGGUUUAGCCCGCCUUUCGGCGGGUUGUCCCCCUGACAGGGGCCAGGUUGCAUACGUGUUACUCACCCGUGCGCCGGUCGCCGGCGGAGAAAA
RNAcentral lists this ribosomal RNA (277 nucleotides) under uncultured bacterium. Its description in RNAcentral is "partial 16S ribosomal RNA". The record is from RNAcentral.